UGAGAUUAAAGGCCGAGUGCUGGGA
RNAcentral lists this non-coding RNA (25 nucleotides) under Mus musculus (house mouse). Lineage: Eukaryota; Metazoa; Chordata; Mammalia; Rodentia; Muridae. The record is from RNAcentral.